CGCUGGCGGCGUGCUUAACACAUGCAAGUCGAACGGUGACCCAGGGCUUGCCCUGGUGAUCAGUGGCGAACGGGUGAGUAACACGUGGGCAACCUGCCCCUGACUUCGGGAUAACUCCUCGAAAGAGGAGCUAAUACCGGAUACGACCACUUCGGACAUCCGAUGGUGGUGGAAAGUUUUUCGGUCAGGGAUGGGCCCGCGGCCUAUCAGCUAGUUGGUGGGGUAAUGGCCUACCAAGGCGACGACGGGUAGCCGGCCUGAGAGGCGACCGGCCACACUGGGACUGAGACACGGCCCAGACUCCUACGGGAGGCAGCAGUGGGGAAUAUUGCGCAAUGGGCGAAAGCCUGACGCAGCGACGCCGCGUGAGGGAUGAAGGCCUUCGGGUUGCAAACCUCUUUCAGCAGGGACGAAGCGAAAGUGACGGUACCUGCAGAAGAAGCACCGGCUAACUACGUG
Molecule: ribosomal RNA, 459 nt
Filed under: uncultured bacterium
Lineage: Bacteria
Description: bacterial SSU rRNA
Rfam family: Bacterial small subunit ribosomal RNA
Source: RNAcentral